Molecule: ribosomal RNA, 119 nt
Filed under: Pteropus alecto (black flying fox)
Lineage: Eukaryota; Metazoa; Chordata; Mammalia; Chiroptera; Pteropodidae
Source: RNAcentral
ACCUUUUAAAAUAUAUUCUUUUUCAAGCCCGACCUUGUCUGAUCUCAGAAGCUAAGCAGGGUUGAGCCUGGUUUGUACUUGGGUGGGAGACCACCUAGGAAGACCAGGUGCUGUAGGUG